CCUUGACAUACUAAGAACUUUCCAGAGAUGGAUUGGUGCCUUCGGGAACUUAGAUACAGGUGCUGCAUGGCUGUCGUCAGCUCGUGUCGUGAGAUGUUGGGUUAAGUCCCGNAACGAGCGCAACCUUUUCCUUAUUUGCCAGCGGGUCAUGCCGGGAACUUUUAAGGAUACUGCCAGUGACAAACUGGAGGAAGGCGGGGACGACGUCAAGUCAUCAUGGCCCUUACGGCCAGGGCUACACACGUGCUACAAUGGUCGGUACAAAGGGUUGCUACCUCGCGAGAGGAUGCUAAUCUCAAAAAGCCGAUCGUAGUCCGGAUCGCAGUCUGCAACUCGACUGCGUGAAGUCGGAAUCGCUAGUAAUCGCGGAUCAGAAUGCCGCGGUGAAUACGUUCCCGGGCCUUGUACACACCGCCCGUCACACCAUGGGAGUUUGUUGCACCAGAAGUAGGUAGUCUAACCGCAAGGAGGACGCUUACCACGGUGUGGCCGAUGACUGGGGUGAAGUCGUAACAAGGUAGGCGUAGAUGA
RNAcentral lists this ribosomal RNA (531 nucleotides) under uncultured bacterium. Its description in RNAcentral is "bacterial SSU rRNA". It matches the Rfam family "Bacterial small subunit ribosomal RNA", at positions 979 to 1509 of the family's 1533-position model. The record is from RNAcentral.